Anguilla anguilla (European eel) is the source of this 6975-nucleotide RNA transcript. It is a transcript of the gene named glycosyltransferase family 92 protein F13G3.3, with no coding region annotated. NCBI's taxonomy places the organism in Eukaryota, Metazoa, Chordata, Actinopteri, Anguilliformes, Anguillidae. The transcript is spliced from 3 exons. The record is from RefSeq and is a predicted model, not a curated record.
GUUAGUAGCCUUCUUAUAAAGCAUUCUUUAUAAAUAACUAUCAAAUAUCUUUUUUUUUAGGCUAAAUUUGUUCUGGACUGCGUAUAAAACAAAAAAAAUGUUAGUGGUAAUUAGCCCAGUAUUUUCAGCAGACAGUUUGCCCUUUCGAGAUCAAAUAAACUCGUGGGUUUAGAUACACUAAAAACAAACACUAAGGGCAGGUCGUGCUGCUUUUAUUAACAAGUGUUUCACCAAGAUAUGCAAAGUACACUCUUAAAAAUGAUUCACUGCCUCUACUCCCAAAAAUGCAUUAAGUUUUUGAGUAGCCUAUUACCUAAAUGCUGUGAACCUAUGGGUCAUUUUCAGUCUAACACAUUUAGUUUAAGUACAAACAAUGUGGGUUUCCUCCACGUUUAAAAACCUAAUUAGGUUUAACUUGCAAAUGUUCAUGGUCAUAUUCAUGGAGAUAUUUAGCUAAGUAAUCAACUUAGGGUUAAGUUGUUUCACAUAGGAAUCUUUCUAAAAUUUCGAUUGAAUAUAUCAAAUUUAUUUCUGCUUUAAUGUUUUUUGUGGAGAUUACCCUUUUUCAAGAAAUCAAGAUAAAAAAGCAAUGAUAAUUUCACCUUUUGUAUUUUUUUAAUGGGUAAACUGUGUAGCCUAUAUUUAUGACGCAGUGGUCUACAACAGAUCUGAGUUUCUUACAACGUAGAUGUAGCGAAGAAACUAAGCAGGAACUGAAUUAGCUUUAUCCGGGUGAGAUGUUUACGCUAACUUUUUAAGAUGAGUUCAUCUUUAUCAGAGCGGCUAGCCAGUCUACUUAGCGGAUCGCUACACGACUCCCGACCCCCUGUCCAAGCGGGAAUUGAACUCGGCCUUGAUGACUUCACCUUAAGUUAAGUGGUUACGCGCAGCUGCCUCCCAACCAGAUAGACCCAUGUUCAAUUCCUGCCUGCUCCUUGCAGAACUCGUGUUGUAACAAACUCAAUAUCGGUGUCACAGACUUACAAAUUAACCAAUUAAAAUAAAAGGGUGAAAUUAUCUAAAUGACUGCUUUUUUUUUUUUUUACCGCUUUCUUGAUUUCUCGGAAAAAGGUAAAUUAUACAAACAUGUUGAAGGAACAAUUUGCAAAAGAUUUGAGUAAAUAAAGAUUGCUAGUUGAAUUACUAGGUGAUUACAAGUUCAUUCUUAUUAUUAGUUCAAUAUCUUGAUGAAUAUGACCAUGCAUAAAGCAGGUUAAACCUAAUUAGGCGUUUAAAUAUGAAGGAAGCCCACAUUGGUAGUGCUUAAACUAGCUGUGUAGUCAAAGAUAGGCUCAUCUUAAAAAUACUGAAUAUAAUUUGAAAUUACUCAUAAACCACAAUGUGUCUGGUUGCCUCUUUUUUAAAGCAGAGGCAGUGAAUCGCGUAGCCGUGACCAAAGUUGCCAAGCUAGUUCACAAAGAGGAUUGCCAGAUUCCCGAUUUUUAAAAUGUUUUUUUAUUUAUUUAUUUUUAUUUGUAGCUACCGGUACGGUUUGUCCACAUUUGUAAAUUCCAUGUUCUGUCUCCAGCGUCCCAUACCCGUCCUCCCCCGGUGUGCGAUCGGUUCCGACAGAACCCCAUAAACCCCAGCUUGUUAUUUUGUGUGAGGCAAGACUGCCAGUGUCGUUUCUUGUAACUUGGCGUAAUUUUGAUUACUUACUACCUUUUAAAAAUACUUUUAAUGGCUGGCCAAAUUAAUCAAUUUGAAUUAAUAACUAAUAGACUGUCCUUUGUACGUGUGAGUAACUUGGCAUUUCUGUACGUUGAAAGCGUGUUUUUCAUCAGAGUAAUUUAUUGUAAUUUUACUUACAUCUGACAAAGGACAUGAAGGCAGGAAAAAUAAAAACAACAGAGCAACAAUUGCUUUUAGUGUCAACCUAAACGAAGAAAAAUCAAUCGGUCCAGAACGUGUAAACAAAGCUGUGUGGUUGGAAAUGUCGUUCGAUUAUUGGUCAAAGUGCUGGCGUAUAAAAAUACAACAAAACCCUCGCAGUUUCUGCCUGUACUUUAUUACGUGGAGCACCGCCAGGUUAUAUUCACGUUGGUGUUGAUUUGGAGUGCACCUCGUUAGACCGCGCAAAAGAAAGUCUGUCCAGAAUGCGUAAAUUAAAUAAUUUAAUAAUACAGGUAUUACGAGAAAGACGGUCUGCAAGCAGACGAUAUCACAGAAGAAGGCUGGCUGUGAUGAGAUCCUUCCAUGACAAAUCUCACUUUGUCGGGAGUCUAGCGAUGCAGCUCAAACCAAACAGAUUUGCCAAGAACACCGCAGCGGCCCUCCAUGACCCCUAAACCAGCUCCUCAGCCUGGGCACGUGGUUCCCAGGGCCUGGGAGUAGCUGGUGGUGUGCCAGUACGCCACAGGUCGGAAUCACCACGGUUCAGCCAACGGCGACUUCGGGAAGGGUGGCGCCUGGGUUGAAGGAGGGUCCUGAUUGGCCGGCGCCUGGGAGGGGGCAGGGAUUCUCACCCCCCAUCUGGAUGGAGCGUAAAAGAAAGACUGUAAAAAACAGAAGUGAUUAUAUGCCAUUACAUGUUUAACUCACUGAUCUGGAGCCUAAAAGAAGAAAAGAAGAGUGACCCUCUUAUGUGAUAUUUAUAAUUCCCUGAUAUAUGUGUUCUAUUUCUGAACAUAUGUUAAGCUACCUUUCAAGAGGCGACGUCUGAUAGAAAGCCUAUUAGCUAAAUAAAAUGUUCCUUAUAAAGAUGGUUACCUCGCGGUUGUGCAUGCCAUCAAAAACUAUGCAUAAUACCCUGAAAUGUUUUGCAGAUAUUUUACUUGAUGUAUUAUAACAGACUUGCGUAUGGAGGAGCUUAUUUAUUUAUUUUUCUUUUAGUUAGAAGAAAAGUUCUCCGUAAAAUAAAAUGGCGAGUCCCAGUCCUGACCAAGACACUCCCACGAGGAGACCAAAUUGGAAAUACAUUGCAGUACUGAUCGUUUUCUUCAUCGUUAACAUCGCUGUGUACAGCCUGACCUCAAACCCCACCAAGGGCUUGAAACAGCCGAUGCCUAGGCCGGCCUCUCACCUAGAACCUUUGCCAACCGCCCCAGGGUUUUGUCCUUUCCCUGCCCAGAGAGACCCGCUGGUCAGCGUGAGCGGCGCCCGGUCGUACGUGGUGGCGCCCUACGUGGAGCACCGGGGCGGAGGCAGGCAGAUCCGGGCCAUCUCCAUCGUCUACCGACCCGAGCCCGACAACUACCAGUGCCUCCUGUGCUGCGGGGGGCGCAAUUUCUCCGUCUCCGCCUCCCGCAACGUGCACAGCGACCACUUCGGCUUCGACUACUGCGCCGGGGACAUCUUCUGCCCGGUGGCGAGCGGCUGCGCCGAGCCGGAGCACGUGGCCAUCUUCUCCAGGGGCCAGCACCAGGAGCCCGCCUUCUUCCCCGUCCAGAACCGGGAGCUCAGGACCGGCGGCUUCAAAUACAACUUCACCGUCUGCAUCUCCACCAUGUACGGGAACUACAGCAACCUCCUGCAGGUGGUGCAGUCCAUGGAGAUGUACCGCCUGCUGGGGGUCGGGCGGGUGGCGGUGUACAAAAACAGCUGCAGCCCGGAGGUGGAGAGAGCGCUGGAUUACUACGAGGCCCAGGGCUUAGUGGAGGUGGUGCCCUGGCCCGUGACCUCCUUCAUUAACGUCUCCCCGGGCUGGCGGAAGUCUGCCUCCCCGGGGGACCUGCACUACUACGGGCAGAUCCCUGCGCUGAACGACUGCCUGUACCGAUACAUGUACAGGACCAAGUACGUGGCCUUGCACGACAUCGACGAGCUCAUCCUGCCUCAGCGCGUGGACGACUGGAACCAGCUUCUGGUGCGCCUGGAACAGAGGUAUUCCGCCGACAGAGGCUUCGAGUUUGAGAACCACGUUUUCCCCGUCUCCGUGUCGGACCAGAUCGACAAGUACAGACCCCGGGAGUGGGAGAAAGUCAAGGGGGUCAACGUGCUGGAGCACGUUUUCCGGGAGCCCAACAUCCCCAAUCGCUUCAACAACUUCAAAGUGAUCGCCAACCCCCGCCUGGUGUUCGAGACGACCGUGCACGGCUUCCUGCGCUCGAUGCACGGGACCGUGCGCGUGGACCGCGACGAGGCCCACCUGUACCACGUCAAGAAAGGUGCCAGGCCCGAACUGAGCCCGUCUGACCUCAUAAGGGACGAUCGAGUCAGGCACUACGCCCCGCGGCUGGUGCCAGCCGUCUCAAAAGCGCUGAAACACAUCAGCAACUCGGUAGAAUAAGACUGCCUGGAUUCAGUCAACACGCCUCCUUCGUUCACUCUUGAGUUACGGAACUGGGCUGGCGUGUGUUGGUUCGCCCUCUUUGACUGUGGAUGUGGUUGAAGAACUGACUGUCUCAAAAGAAGCGUUGUUUGUCCACCAAAUGUGAUUUCUUUCUCACUUGCACUAUGAUGAUUUUGAAGGUUAUGUGGGUGUAUGCCGUCCAAAGUGCUCCUUUGUUACUGUAUAUGCAAAAUGAAAUAUUUCUUAGUUUAAUGCCAUCAUCUAUGGCAGCAUUGCAUAGCUUAUGCAUACUCAGUUUAAACCACUGGAUAUUUGCUGAAACUAUUCAGGUUUGGUGCUUAGGUGGUACCAGUGCAGUACUCUUCCUAAGAUUGUUACCUACAGACAUCUGUUAUUAAGCACUGCUCAAUUACGAUUGCCAGUGUGAAGAUUUUCUAUUCUAACCAGAUGGCCUUGUCUGUAUACUGUCUCUGUUAAUGCGGAGGCCCAAAGUGCUUUACUUUUCUGACAUAUUAUGAAUGUUCAUAAUAUUCUGUAUUCUUUCAAUAUGAAGGGGUAUGAAGAUUAUAUAUCUGGUUUGUAUGUAUAAUAGGUUAUAUGUGGCUACACUGUGGACUGUCUUUGAUGCUGUGUUGUUGUGAUUUUCAAAGGGAACAUUUAUAAUGUCCUGUUUGCACGUACAAAUACAAGUGUCUUGAUUCUAAGCAACGUCCAAUCUAAAGAAGGUUUUACUAUAAAGAACAUUAAUAUAUUCUGCAGAUUGUAUAAGCGCCUUAAUCGACUCUUGCUGAAAAGCUGUUAUUUUGUAAUUUAUACAGAUUUUAAAGAAAAUGGUUUUGUAUGUGGGAAAUGUAAGGGGAAAUGUACUGUACAGCAUGCAUUGUUUGGAAGUAAGUCCCAACAGGGUGAUAUGGCCCCUAUGCAAAGUGAAUUGGUCUUAAUCGCCCUGAGAGUGACCCUGUAGGGAUGGGGCAGGGUGGGCUGGGGGGGCACGACCACCUAUAUGGCAUCCUGGCCCUCCCAUUCACCCUGGCUGAACCACCACACCCAAUUGUGAAUGCCCACCUGGGCAGUUCAAUGCAGACCCAGCUGUAUGAGUAUUUUUGGCUAUGCUGCUACCCUGACUGGGCUUAUUUUGGAACCACUGGCAAGCUCACUGUACAUCAUCAUUUGUACACUGUGGCUGCUUGCCAAAUAAAUUCAUUAACUGGCACGAAAUCAUCAUUUAAUUGAUUAUGCAUAUUUGUGCACAAGGGAAGUUCCAGCAAACAACAAUGGUUGUCACUAUAUUAGCAACCGCAAACAAAUUAGUGAGAGACAUUUCAAAUGUCACACCGCUGACAAAAUUUACGAACAUUAAAUGGAAGAUUCCUGUUUAUAGGAUAGUGCUUCACGUUGAAAGGGCAUUUUUUUGGGGUGAUGUCUCAACUGCUCCUUCUGCAUUUUCCUCCUUUCAGUUUGAGGUUUUUCCAUAAAGCUUACUUUGUUUUUUUACCAACAGGGGAGAAUACAUUCUAACUGGUGUGACUAGCUAUGUAGCGAGAUAUCAACGUAUUGGAAUAACUGCCAUUAUAAUGAUAGAAUGACAGCUUUUUGCAGUAAUGAAUGCUAAUUGGCCAAUCAGAACUGACUGCUCAACAAAGCUGUGGUAUAAACACAAUCAAAGUAGUAAACUCAAGAAACAAACUGCCUGCACCUUUCUGGUGACAUCACUGCUUUAAAAUGGGAAUAAAUCUUGUAAAUUCUUGUAAAAUCUUGUAAUUUGCCUGCUCUUUAAAUAAAAUGCUACAAUCUUGGGAACAUUAUCGCUUGUUAUAUUAUCUCUAUUUUACAUUGUUUUAUCACAACAUAAUAUUUCAAAUAAAUUUUAAAAAAACUGUAGUAGGCUGAACUGUUCAUAGGUAGCACGUCUCCCUUCAAAACACCCUGUCUGGGUGAAAGCAAACGUGACAAUUAUGCAUAUUGGGAAAGUUUACCCCAAUGUUCUGGGAGCCAAAACUCGUUUGCUGGGUUUAUACAAUGCAUUUUGGUAGCUAAUUUGUAAUCUUUUCUUUUAAUUUGGUAGGCACUUGUAAAUUAGUAUGUCUGUUUCAUACUUUUAAGUACUAUGAGUAAGUUUGUAUCAUGUUUGAACUGAAACAUGCUGUGUAAAUUUAGGAGACAAGUACACAUGAGGAACUUGGUGUGCUGUGUCUCAACAUGACAUGAUUAUCCAUUCAUUUAUUUAAUCUCACCUGGAUUAUUGUAAAUCCCUCGUCACAUGACUCAGAAGGACCAUCUACGAUUGGUCCGGAAUGCCGCUUUCAAGCUUCUAACCAGGUGCAGCAGAAGGGCUCAUAUCCCACAGAUAAUUGCUUUAUUACACUGGCUUCCCAUCAAAGUUAAAAUUUAAUUUAAAAUUCUUGUGAUUCCAUCUUUACACCACCAGUAAGUAUGUCUCUUGGGUCCUCUGACCUAGGAUUGCUGGAUGUCCCUAGGUCAAACUGAAUUUGAUUGAACAUUCAAAACCGUUGCUCCCAAACUCUGGAACUCCCUCCCUUUGUACAUAAGACCUGUGCUUACUGUUGACACCUUUAAAAAGUCCCACCUGUUCAAACUUUCUGGCCUUCUUUUUUUUUAGUUCUGUUUUACGUGUGCCUGUUACUGUUUGUUUUUAAGAUUAUAUUGUUUUCAUUUAUUGCUUGUGAAGCACUUUGUUAUUCCACUCUAACGAGGUGCUAUACCAAUAAAGUUUUACUAAUUUA